RNAcentral lists this ribosomal RNA (465 nucleotides) under Vreelandella stevensii. RNAcentral's name for it is "partial 16S ribosomal RNA". It matches the Rfam family "Bacterial small subunit ribosomal RNA", at positions 338 to 795 of the family's 1533-position model. The record is from RNAcentral. Lineage: Bacteria; Pseudomonadati; Pseudomonadota; Gammaproteobacteria; Oceanospirillales; Halomonadaceae.
CCUACGGGGGGCAGCAGUGGGGAAUAUUGGACAAUGGGCGAAAGCCUGAUCCAGUCAUGCCGCGUGUGUGAAGAAGGCCUUCGGGUUGUAAAGCACUUUCAGUGGGGAAGAAAGCCUUGGGGCUAAUACCCUCGAGGAAGGACAUCACCCACAGAAGAAGCACCGGCUAACUCCGUGCCAGCAGCCGCGGUAAUACGGAGGGUGCGAGCGUUAAUCGGAAUUACUGGGCGUAAAGCGCGCGUAGGCGGUCUGAUAAGCCGGUUGUGAUAGCCCCGGGCUCAACCUGGGAACGGCAUCCGGAACUGUCAGGCUAGAGUGCAGGAGAGGAAGGUAGAAUUCCCGGUGUAGCGGUGAAAUGCGUAGAGAUCGGGAGGAAUACCAGUGGCGAAGGCGGCCUUCUGGACUGACACUGACGCUGAGGUGCGAAAGCGUGGGUAGCAAACAGGAUUAGAUACCCGUGUAGUC